Molecule: long non-coding RNA, 1601 nt
Filed under: Homarus americanus (American lobster)
Lineage: Eukaryota; Metazoa; Arthropoda; Malacostraca; Decapoda; Nephropidae
Description: uncharacterized LOC121866542
Source: RNAcentral
GUCAGUAAUAUGAGACCACUAAUCCCCCACCCUACCGCCACCUGACAUUGCAUCAGGUCAGAUCAGUUUCACAAGACCCACAGAUCCCCCACAUCUCCAUGGGAGUGGAAAAUAACAGUCUUUGCUGUAACACACAGCUUAAUUCACGCCCAUAUCCUAUAGAUUUUUCAUCUAUAAAUAUGUUUAUUUAACCAAGGUAUUCUGGAUUAUUAUCGUAAAGAAAUGGAGUUUCUAACUUAAUUUGAACUGCAUUUAUGAACUCCAGUAGUUAAGACUCCAGGAAAACAUCCUCAGCACCCAGAAAUGUUCUGGGGAAGUGAGCUAGUGUCUGUGUGUGCAAGAUGUCUAGUUUAGAUACUUGGAAACUUUUCCCAGUAACCGGAAAAGAUUCCGCGUUUGAGAAAAUUGUCUGGUUAGCUGGAAAUCUCUCAUCCCUGGAAGUGCUUUGCACUAAUUGUUCUGGCUAAUGGGAAUAUCACUUGUAAUAUGGGAAUUAUGGAUGAAAUUGCAUGCAGUCAUUGUAAAGGGAUCUCAGGCUGCCGACCAGGAGGUGGUGAGAUUUUCUCUCUUCCCUCCUUCACCAUCCACCCCCUUCUCUGCCACCUUCUCUGCCACCCACCAUCUCCUCUUCACUGCUACACACCUAAAUGUAGUAUCUUAAUAUAAUUCAUAUUCUAUUCCUAUAACUCAUUCAUCUAGAUCUAUUUCAUAAUAUAUUCCUAUAAUAAUAAUCUACUUUUCGGAACUGUUUGGUUGUUUCAGAUUCAUUCCGAAUUCAAAUCGUUUAAUUAAUUUUUUAAAAACACACACGAAUUAAGCCGAAAUCCGAAUUAUAAUACGAAUUAAUGAGGAACAGUGUAUGCACUGUAUGUGGUAUGACAUUGUGGAAGGUAACAUAAUGAGAUCCACAUACCAAGACAAAGAACAUUAAUAUCCAUUAUUCAUAACUGGUUUGAUUGGUAUGGCUUUCGGGAUGCUUGUGAGUGUGCCUCUCAUAUCCUGAGAAGAGGAAAACAUUGCUUUCCAUUUGUUUGCGAUGUUGCUCAAUUAAUAUGAAAUUAUUUCCAGCAUUGGAGAAACUACCCAUCGUGUCCUUGACGGUAAACAUUGAUGUGGCACAGGAUAGCAAUGCUUUAGGAGGCUGAGGAAGAGCCAGAGAUGCAGCACUUGCUCAUCCAAAUGGAAGAAGCCUGAGUUACCAUGGAAAUGAUUCCCAUGAUUCGGACAACUUCCCGCUGAUUUGGCAUAACAUCGUCACGGACUUGUUUGUACGGCGCAUCACCCUCUUUCACCCAGUCAGAGCGGGAGGAAGAGCCACCCUCCGGGUCUCAGUGACUCGCCACCCUCCUCCUCCCCACUACCCACCACACACUCGCUCCACCUCCGCCCAUCAGAACGGAACCACGACGUUAAGCGAGGACUUACUGCAGUUCAGUGCCAAACAGUGAGGUCCCUCGUAACGAUCUUCAAGAAUGAGGUGCUUCCCUGUAUGGAGUACUGUCACCUUGUCUGUUCCCCGAGAUAUUCUAGGGACUGUCAGUUGAAUGAAAAUGCCCAAAGCAAGGCCACCAGACUGGUGCCUGCACUUCGGCACCUCAGCU